GGAGGCUGCUGUCCAGGAGGAGGACGGGCAGAGCCAGGGGUGCCCAGCUCUUCUGGGCAAUGAAAUGCAGAUUUCCCAUUAAAAGGCAAAUCAUUAUUUCAAAAGGUUGAAUAGGAUGCGACUUAAAAAAAGAUUUUCAGCUGGUUAAAUUUAGGACAAGGGACGAGGUCCAAGGAGCUGGUGCUCCUGGCUGGCGGCCCGCGGCAGAACCUUUGGAUGGGAAAUUGGAGCCUUUUCACUCUCAGUGCUUGCCUCUCGGUAGUUUUUUUCUCUCUUCCCUGAGUUAGGCAAACAAAUGUUGAUAGCCGUGUUGGCCAGGGCUGUGCUUGCUUAAAAUAGGCUGUUUCGGUUGGCUGGUGGCCAAUUUGAGAUGCCUCGUCCCAGCCCACACCCUCUCUGCACAGCAGGCAGGAAGUGUCCAGCCCCGAGGGCUUUCUCCUUCCUUGACCACCGGCACCCUGACGCAGCUUCGUGCUUUUUACCCACAGUCCCAUGUCCCUGUCCUGCGGGUGGGAGGAGUUGGAGACUUGCCCCUGAAUUUAGUCUCUCAGACAAGGCCAUGGUGGGCAAGUCACACGGCUGCUUGGACCUUGCUACCUGCUCUUAUGGCACAGGAGCUGGGCUAACCCACCCCUGAGGUGGUGUCCAGCUCUGACCUGCUGAGCGGGCCUCCAUCAUGGGACCAAGCCCAGAUGCCAGGCUGCAGAACCCCAGCAGUGGAGGACAGCUUCUGGGAACCCGGACAGGACAAAACCCUAAUGAUGGGACAUGAGGAGGCCCUCUGCUCCACUGCCUGGAGUUUGGCUCAAAGGAUCUGCAGCCAAAGCAGAGCCACCGCCCAGCCCGUCUUCAGCCAUCUUCCUGAGAUCUGCCUGCAGACAUGCCAGAGUAAGAAUAAAUUCUUUGGCAAGCCACUAACUCUGGGGGUAUUUUAUUACAGAGCCGAUUUGUGCCCUGGUGGCAUUUUGAGAAGCCUGACCCUGAGGAGAGGGAUGAAGGUGUUCUAAGGAAGUGGGGAAGGGGAGGACGGCAGAGGUGCGGACAUAGGAGAGGCGACCUCCGAAUGGGGGUUAGGAGGGAGGCUGGGGAGGGUUCAUAGAGGGAAGGGGCAGGUUGGAAAGGCACGUUGGAAGCAGGCUGGGAAAGCUGUCGGAGGUUUCAGAGGGGACACCCCACGUCAGGUGUCCUUCUUUUCUCACCACCCCCCUUUACUGUCUUUCUAAGGCCACGCUACGGCAGAU
This 1241-nucleotide long non-coding RNA is filed under the name Sus scrofa (pig). RNAcentral describes it as "lncRNA (ENSSSCG00070017436.1)". Lineage: Eukaryota; Metazoa; Chordata; Mammalia; Artiodactyla; Suidae. The record is from RNAcentral.